GACGAACGCUGGCGGCGCGCCUAACACAUGCAAGUCGAACGAGCGAGAGAGAGCUUGCUUUCUCAAGCGAGUGGCGAACGGGUGAGUAACGCGUGAGGAACCUGCCUCAAAGAGGGGGACAACAGUUGGAAACGACUGCUAAUACCGCAUAAGCCCACGACCCGGCAUCGGGUAGAGGGAAAAGGAGCAAUCCGCUUUGAGAUGGCCUCGCGUCCGAUUAGCUAGUUGGUGAGGUAACGGCCCACCAAGGCGACGAUCGGUAGCCGGACUGAGAGGUUGAACGGCCACAUUGGGACUGAGACACGGCCCAGACUCCUACGGGAGGCAGCAGUGGGGAAUAUUGCACAAUGGGGGAAACCCUGAUGCAGCGACGCCGCGUGGAGGUAGAAGGUCUUCGGAUUGUAAACUCCUGUUGUUGAGGAAGAUAAUGACGGUACUCAACAAGGAAGUGACGGCUAACUACGUG
This 466-nucleotide ribosomal RNA is filed under the name uncultured bacterium. Its description in RNAcentral is "partial 16S ribosomal RNA". It matches the Rfam family "Bacterial small subunit ribosomal RNA", at positions 28 to 507 of the family's 1533-position model. The record is from RNAcentral.